This 676-nucleotide ribosomal RNA is filed under the name uncultured Lachnospiraceae bacterium. Its description in RNAcentral is "bacterial SSU rRNA". It matches the Rfam family "Bacterial small subunit ribosomal RNA", at positions 28 to 718 of the family's 1533-position model. Lineage: Bacteria; Bacillati; Bacillota; Clostridia; Lachnospirales; Lachnospiraceae. The record is from RNAcentral.
GACGAACGCUGGCGGCACGCUUAACACAUGCAAGUCGAACGAGAGAAGAGAAGCUUGCUUUUCUGAUCUAGUGGCGGACGGGUGAGUAACACGUGAGCAAUCUGCCUUUCAGAGGGGGAUACCGAUUGGAAACGAUCGUUAAUACCGCAUAAUAUAAUUGAACCGCAUGAUUUGAUUAUCAAAGAUUUAUCGCUGAAAGAUGAGCUCGCGUCUGAUUAGCUAGUUGGUAAGGUAACGGCUUGCCAAGGCGACGAUCAGUAGCCGGGCUGAGAGGUUGAUCGGCCACAUUGGGACUGAGACACGGCCCAGACUCCUACGGGAGGCAGCAGUGGGGAAUAUUGCACAAUGGAGGAAACUCUGAUGCAGCGAUGCCGCGUGAGGGAAGAAGGUUUUAGGAUUGUAAACCUCUGUCUUCAGGGACGAAAAAAGACGGUACCUGAGGAGGAAGCUCCGGCUAACUACGUGCCAGCAGCCGCGGUAAUACGUAGGGAGCGAGCGUUGUCCGGAAUUACUGGGUGUAAAGGGAGCGUAGGCGGGAUCGCAAGUCAGAUGUGAAAACUAUGGGCUUAACCCAUAAACUGCAUUUGAAACUGUGGUUCUUGAGUGAAGUAGAGGUAAGCGGAAUUCCUAGUGUAGCGGUGAAAUGCGUAGAUAUUAGGAGGAACAUCAGUGGCGA